UACGUAGGGGGCAAGCGUUGUCCGGAAUUAUUGGGCGUAAAGAGCGCGUAGGCGGUCCGAUAAGUCGGCUGUGAAAGUCCAGGGCUCAACCCUGGAAAGCCGGCCGAUACUGUCGGACUAGAGUCCGGAAGAGGCAAGUGGAAUUCCCGGUGUAGCGGUGAAAUGCGCAGAUAUCGGGAGGAACACCAAUUGCGAAGGCAGCUUGCUGGGACGGUACUGACGCUGAGGCGCGAAAGCGUGGGGAGCGAUCCGG
This 253-nucleotide ribosomal RNA is filed under the name uncultured bacterium. RNAcentral's name for it is "partial 16S ribosomal RNA". It matches the Rfam family "Bacterial small subunit ribosomal RNA", at positions 524 to 776 of the family's 1533-position model. The record is from RNAcentral.